GGGUUAUUGAGUUAUCUUGCGGAAGGGUUUUGUUCUUAGUGUUGAGGUGAAUUAACUAGCCCCUUUUGGAUCUCUUCUCUCGAUCGCUUCAGAUAACAUAAUCCUUCAUUUACAAUAAGUCCAAUCAAAUAUCAAAUAUGUGUUCCGAGUGUAUCUUACAGUUAGUCAAUGGCUUCUCAAAAAUUGUGGUUUCUGUAACUCGGUGUGGUUGGAUUCUUGAAUAUUGAGUAGUGGUUUAAUGGUGGGAUAUGAAUUGCAUGUGGGUGUAACGGGAUUUUGGUUAUAUAGAAGAGAAUUGAUGUUCGUGAUGUAUGGUUGAAUAUUUGCAAGUUCUUGUUUGUUCUUUGCGUUUCUUGUAUAUAUAUGCUGACUACUGUUUUAGUGGAAGUAGCAUGGGAUUGUAUGUCGUGUUGGUUUUUACUCUCGCCGAGAAUCUUAUUGUAAAUCAAAUUAAAUUUGAUUGCUGUAGAAGUAUUUCGUCUUUAGUAAAUUUAAUUCUGAAAUUGCUAGGAACCAAAUUGAUUUAUAAUUUAGGAGUGAAAUGUGAGAAUGAAUGGUGAAAAUUUAGAGGAAUUUUACUAACUAAAAAGAGAGUGACAUAAAUAGGAGAUGCAUGUUAUUAAAGAAUUUUUCUAUUUCCAAGGAGGCAUAAACUUCUAAACUCUCUGUCUUUUGUCAUACUUUAUUAUGAUAUGAUAUUGUUAGGUUAUUCUAGCAAUGGGGAAGGAUUCAAAACCAAAGGAUGCAGGAGGGAAGGGCAAAGGAAAGCAGGCGGCAGGUGCAAGUGAUGAUAGUGCUUCAAAGGGCAAAGGGAAAGCUGGAAAAGCAGAUGGACUUGGCACCUGCACAUAUGUAAAAGCAAGGCAUAUCUUAUGUGAGAAGCAAGGUAAAAUCAAUGAAGCAUACAAGAAGCUGCAAGAUGGUUGGCUUAGCAAUGGAGACAAAGUCCCACCUGCUGAGUUUGCAAAGCUGGCAGCAGAAUAUUCAGAGUGUCCUUCUGGAAAGAAGGGUGGAGACCUUGGAUGGUUUCCACGUGGAAAGAUGGCUGGUCCAUUCCAGGAAGUUGCCUUCAGCACAGUUGUUGGAGCUACCAGUGCACCGUUUAAAUCAACGUGAGUUUUGACCUUCGUCCCUCCUCCUUGUAAUUCUAUAUUCCUCUUGCAUAUUUUUGUGUACAUUGGUAGGACUAAUUCUCGAUUCCUGUGCAGUCAUGGAUAUCACAUAAUUUUAUGUGAAGGGAGAAAGAAUUGAUGUAAUGCAGUCAAGGGGCUCAAAACUGUAUGCUGUAGAUGGGUAUUGACAUCUUUUUACCUUGGAAAUCGAAGUGAGGUUAAUCAAUAUUGUGAUGCUUGAUUAGAAUACCCUACUAAGAAAGAGUUUCAUGAAUAUAUUAGGAGAUGAAUAUCUGAAUGUUGAUCAGUUUCUUUGCCUCCCCAUGUUCAUUUACAAUAAUGAGGAUGUAUUUAAGAGAAUUAUGAGAGAAACUCUUGAGAUUUGAUGAAAUUAAGUUAUGUUUUGUUGGAUUUAAUACAAUGAAAUAAUCAGUAGUGUAGUUAAAUAAAAUGUAAUGGUUACUUUCUGUUUAUGUUGGUUGCAAAAAUAGAUAAAUGCAAUGAAA
This 1618-nucleotide unclassified non-coding RNA is filed under the name Hevea brasiliensis (rubber tree). Lineage: Eukaryota; Viridiplantae; Streptophyta; Magnoliopsida; Malpighiales; Euphorbiaceae. The record is from RNAcentral.